RNAcentral lists this ribosomal RNA (496 nucleotides) under uncultured bacterium. RNAcentral's name for it is "partial 16S ribosomal RNA". It matches the Rfam family "Bacterial small subunit ribosomal RNA", at positions 28 to 506 of the family's 1533-position model. The record is from RNAcentral.
GAUGAACGCUGGCGGCGUGCCUAAUACAUGCAAGUCGAGCGAACGGACGAGAAGCUUGCUUCUCUGAUGUUAGCGGCGGACGGGUGAGUAACACGUGGAUAACCUACCUAUAAGACUGGGAUAACUUCGGGAAACCGGAGCUAAUACCGGAUGAUAUUUUGAACCGCAUGGUUCAAAAGUGAAAGACGGUCUUGCUGUCACUUAUAGAUGGAUCCGCGCUGCAUUAGCUAGUUGGUAAGGUAACGGCUUACCAAGGCAACGAUGCAUAGCCGACCUGAGAGGGUGAACGGGCACACUGGAAAUGGGACACGGGCCAGGAUCCUACGGGGAGCAGGAGGAGGGAAUCUUCCGCAAAGGGCGAAAGCCUGACGGAGCAACGCCGCGUGAGUGAUGAAGGUCUUCGGAUCGUAAAACUCUGUUAUUAGGGAAGAACAUAUGUGUAAGUAACUGUGCACAUCUUGACGGUACCUAAUCAGAAAGCCACGGCUAACUACGU